Molecule: ribosomal RNA, 468 nt
Filed under: uncultured bacterium
Lineage: Bacteria
Description: partial 16S ribosomal RNA
Rfam family: Bacterial small subunit ribosomal RNA
Source: RNAcentral
GACGAACGCUGGCGGCGUGCUUAACACAUGCAAGUCGAACGGAAAGGCCCUGCUUUUGUGGGGUGCUCGAGUGGAGAACGGGUGAGUAACACGUGAGAAACCUGCCCUUGACUUUGGGAUAACUUCAGGAAACUGGGGCUAAUACCGGAUAGGAGCUCCUGCGGCAUGGUGGGGGUUGGAAAGUUUCGGCGGUUGGGGAUGGACUCGCGGCUUAUCAGCUUGUUGGUGGGGUAGUGGCUUACCAAGGCUUUGACGGGUAGCCGGCCUGAGAGGGUGACCGGCCACAUUGGGACUGGGAUACGGCCCGGACUCCUACGGGAGGCAGCAGUGGGGAAAAUUGCACAAUGGGCGGAGGCCUGAUGCAGCAACGCCGCGUGCGGGAUGACGGCCUUCGGUUUGUAAACCGCUUUCGCCUGUGACGAAGCGUGAGUGACGGUAAUGGGUAAAGAAGCACCGGCUAACUACGUG